GGCGCCGCCGAGCCAGCCGAGUGCCCGCGGGCUUGACCGUGAACGCCGCGGGAGUCGGGGCGCGCCCCCUGCGGCGGCCGAGAGCCCCGCCUUGUCUCCGGGGACCACUUCGCCUCCCGCUUCCUCCUUCUUUUCCCGCCAGCACCCCUGCGCCCGGGGGUGCUCCAGGAGGGAGUCGUAGGAGCUGGAAUGGAGAGCUCAAGUGCCUCAGGCGGCCGCCUGACUCCCGGUGAAGAAACUAAGGCCCGGAAAGGUGCUAGCAGCAAUAGUGAUUCCACAUAUGACAGAAAUUCUCUUUCUGGCUUAUUUCACUUAGAAUGACGAUCUCCAGGUCCAUCCAUGUUGCUGCAAAU
This is a long non-coding RNA of Camelus dromedarius (Arabian camel), 353 nucleotides long. RefSeq lists it as uncharacterized. The transcript is spliced from 3 exons. NCBI's taxonomy places the organism in Eukaryota, Metazoa, Chordata, Mammalia, Artiodactyla, Camelidae. The record is from RefSeq and is a predicted model, not a curated record.